RNAcentral lists this ribosomal RNA (301 nucleotides) under uncultured bacterium. RNAcentral describes it as "partial 16S ribosomal RNA". It matches the Rfam family "Bacterial small subunit ribosomal RNA", at positions 509 to 809 of the family's 1533-position model. The record is from RNAcentral.
CAGUAGCCGCGGUAAUACGAAGGGUGCAAGCGUUAAUCGGAAUUACUGGGCGUAAAGCGUGCGUAGGCGGUGAGUUAAGUCUGCUGUGAAAUCCCCGGGCUCAACCUGGGAAUGGCAGUGGAUACUGGCUCGCUAGAGUGUGUCAGAGGAUGGUGGAAUUCCCGGUGUAGCGGUGAAAUGCGUAGAGAUCGGGAGGAACAUCAGUGGCGAAGGCGGCCAUCUGGGACAACACUGACGCUGAGGCACGAAAGCGUGGGGAGCAAACAGGAUUAGAUACCCGUGUAGUCCCUGUCACUUAUAU